UACGGGAGGCAGCAGUGAGGAAUAUUGGACAAUGGGCGCAAGCCUGAUCCAGCCAUGCCGCGUGUAGGAAGACGGCCCUAUGGGUUGUAAACUACUUUUGUAUAGGAAGAAAUCUUUUUACGUGUAAGAAGUUGACGGUACUAUAAGAAUAAGCACCGGCUAACUCCGUGCCAGCAGCCGCGGUAAUACGGAGGGUGCAAGCGUUAUCCGGAAUCAUUGGGUUUAAAGGGUCCGUAGGCGGGCUGAUAAGUCAGUGGUGAAAUGCAGGGGCUUAACUCCGGCACUGCCAUUGAUACUGUUAGUCUUGAAUUAUUGUGAAGUGGUUAGAAUAUGUAGUGUAGCGGUGAAAUGCUUAGAUAUUACAUAGAAUACCAAUUGCGAAGGCAGAUCACUAACAAUAUAUUGACGCUGAUGGACGAAAGCGUGGGUAGCGAACAGGAUUAGAUACCCUGGUAGUCCACGCCGUAAACGAUGGUUACUAGCUGUUUGGUACAAUUGAGUACUGAGUGGCCAAGCGAAAGUGAUAAGUAACCCACCUGGGGAGUACGUUCGCAAGAAUGAAACUCAAAGGAAUUGACGGGGGCCCGCACAAGCGGUGGAGCAUGUGGUUUAAUUCGAUGAUACGCGAGGAACCUUACCAGGGCUUAAAUGCAGAUUGACAGGUUUAGAAAUAGACUUUUCUUCGGACAAUUUGCAAGGUGCUGCAUGGUUGUCGUCAGCUCGUGCCGUGAGGUGUCAGGUUAAGUCCUAUAACGAGCGCAACCCCUAUUGCUAGUUGCCAGCGAGUCAUGUCGGGGACUCUAGUGAGACUGCCGGUGCAAACCGUGAGGAAGGUGGGGAUGACGUCAAAUCAUCACGGCCCUUACGUCCUGGGCCACACACGUGCUACAAUGGUAGGGACAGAGAGCAGCCACUUCGCGAGAAGGAGCGAAUCUUCAAACCCUAUCUCAGUUCGGAUCGUAGUCUGCAACUCGACUACGUGAAGCUGGAAUCGCUAGUAAUCGCAUAUCAGCCAUGAUGCGGUGAAUACGUUCCCGGGCCUUGUACACACCGCCCGUCAAGCCAUGGA
RNAcentral lists this ribosomal RNA (1069 nucleotides) under Nonlabens dokdonensis DSW-6. RNAcentral's name for it is "bacterial SSU rRNA". It matches the Rfam family "Bacterial small subunit ribosomal RNA", at positions 340 to 1408 of the family's 1533-position model. The record is from RNAcentral. Lineage: Bacteria; Pseudomonadati; Bacteroidota; Flavobacteriia; Flavobacteriales; Flavobacteriaceae.